UGGGAAUUUUGGACAAUGGGCGAAAGCCUGAUCCAGCAAUGCCGCGUGUGUGAAGAAGGCCUUCGGGUUGUAAAGCACUUUUGUCCGGAAAGAAAUCCUUGGCUCUAAUACAGUCGGGGGAUGACGGUACCGGAAGAAUAAGCACCGGCUAACUACGUGCCAGCAGCCGCGGUAAUACGUAGGGUGCAAGCGUUAAUCGUAAUUACUGGGCGUAAAGCGUGCGCAGGCGGUUUGCUAAGACCGAUGUGAAAUCCCCGGGCUCAACCUGGGAACUGCAUUGGUGACUGGCAGGCUAGAGUAUGGCAGAGGGGGGUAGAAUUCCACGUGUAGCAGUGAAAUGCGUAGAGAUGUGGAGGAAUACCGAUGGCGAAGGCAGCCCCCUGGGCCAAUACUGACGCUCAUGCACGAAAGCGUGGGGAGCAAAACNGGAUUAGAUACCCUGGUAGUCCACGCCCUAAAACGAUGUCAACUAGUUGUUGGGGAUUCAUUUCCUUAGUAACGUAGCUAACGCGUGAAGUUGACCGCCUGGGGAGUAC
This 536-nucleotide ribosomal RNA is filed under the name uncultured bacterium. RNAcentral describes it as "partial 16S ribosomal RNA". It matches the Rfam family "Bacterial small subunit ribosomal RNA", at positions 356 to 883 of the family's 1533-position model. The record is from RNAcentral.